Molecule: ribosomal RNA, 371 nt
Filed under: uncultured organism
Description: bacterial SSU rRNA
Rfam family: Bacterial small subunit ribosomal RNA
Source: RNAcentral
CAGAGGGUGCAAGCGUUAAUCGGAAUUACUGGGCGUAAAGCGUGCGUAGACGGUUAUGUAAGUUAGGUGUGAAAGCCCCGGGCUCAACCUGGGAAUUGCAUUUAAGACUGCAUAGCUAGGGUGCGGAAGAGGGAAGCGGAAUUUCCGGUGUAGCGGUGAAAUGCGUAGAUAUCGGAAGGAACAUCAGUGGCGAAAGCGGCUUCCUGGUCCAGCACCGACGUUCAGGCACGAAAGCGUGGGGAGCAAACAGGAUUAGAUACCCUGGUAGUCCACGCCAUAAACGAUGAGAACUAGACGUUGAGAGGGUAAGCCUCCCAGUGUCGAAGCUAACGCGAUAAGUUCUCCGCCUGGGGAGUACGGCCGCAAGGUUG